Molecule: non-coding RNA, 29 nt
Filed under: Cricetulus griseus (Chinese hamster)
Lineage: Eukaryota; Metazoa; Chordata; Mammalia; Rodentia; Cricetidae
Source: RNAcentral
CCAAAAAGGAGGGCACUGAAGAACAGGAU